UGGCUCUGGACUCUGAAAGAGACCUUGGGAGCUUGAGUUUCAGGCCACAGUACUUGUCGAAAUGUAGUUCCUUAACCCGUUGUGUGCCCUGCUGGGAAGGUUGAGCUGCAGCCGCGAGGCCAGGGACCGUGUGCCUGUCCUAAGGCCUAGCACCAGUCUCCGCUUCGGGGAUUAAAGAUGAGUAAACCAGAUUUCCCUGGAGAUGUAAGAAGGGGCCAAAACCGCAUCACCCUUAUGGCCACACCAACGAAGGAUGACUUUCUCCUACAUCAUGUAGAGCCUGACUUCUCCUUUGUUCUGGGGUCUCUCAAAUUUAUAAGUGAAACUGUGGCAAGGAAAUUAAGCCCCCAGUGUGGCUUUGACAUCUGGGCUGGUGGGCAAGGAGCUACCAUAGCUACUAGUAUGGCUGUCAUUAUCUACCAGGGAGGGACUUCUCAGAAUCAUUUAUAAUGAAAUCUCUAAAGCUUGGAAAACAAUCUCCUAUCACUUC
This is a long non-coding RNA of Suricata suricatta (meerkat), 490 nucleotides long. RefSeq lists it as uncharacterized. The record is from RefSeq and is a predicted model, not a curated record. The transcript is spliced from 2 exons. NCBI's taxonomy places the organism in Eukaryota, Metazoa, Chordata, Mammalia, Carnivora, Herpestidae.